CUUGUCCUGUCCCUCUUCGCAGCAAAAUAACACAACCGUCAACAAGCUUCAUCACACAGAACAGCCAACAAGCUCACUGUACAAAAACACUUGGAUGCUAACUGGAUUUUUUAGUUUCUACACAACAUUUUUAAGUUCAGACUGUUGGAACCAAAGCCAAAGCAUUUUCUCAACAGUGAGGAAUUGUUUAGAAACCAGAGGGAGGUGGUAAGUGUGAGAGAACUGGACUAGGCAGACGAAAGGGUAAAGGGGGAGAGGACCAGGUCUGUAUGGGGCUUCCAGGAGUUCUCUAAGGUCCUGGAGGCAUGGAUGCCACAUCGGAAUAAAGAACAGGACAGGAAGUUUCUGCUUUCGCACUGGUACAAUGUGUGCAGGCGUGGCACCCCCUGGAGGUGGGGAUCAGUGAUAUUAAACAUGCUCCCCCAUGGCCAUCAUCACAGGUGCCGGGCCAUCGUGAAGGAGCCAGAGAAUGAUCGCGAGGAGAGAAUUCUGGCAAUACUAGGGAUUAUUGGCACUGUGCUCAACCUACUGAGGGUGAGGGGAGACAAAGUGACCCAAACGCAGAGGGAAACUUUUUUUACCACAACAUAUGUAAACAAGGACAGGCUCACCUGACACCAGCUGCAGUAAUGAGCUGAGUCAAAAGCUAUAGCCACUCAGCGGGCUUAGGAAUGAUGUGUGUUAGUAUGAUGAGUGUGUGCUUUGAUAUUGAAGUCAGGAUCAAUCCGAAGAGAGCCUGUUGAAGCUGGUGCGAAGCAAAGCCCAGGUGAAUUUCUCCCUCGACACGUGGGCAGAGACCUAGGAAUCCUCCUCCAAGGGAUCUGGGCGACAAUACAGGUGAAGUCAAUGGCGAAGAAGAAGAUAACCACGCCUCUAGAGACAACCAACAGACAAAGAGAAAUCUCCAACUAAACAAGAGAGCAUGGUUAACACUUGACAGCAAACAAUAAACUGAGAAAGAAAGAGGGAAAACACAAGGAAUAAGUAGGGAGUGCAAUCAGUGUGAAGCAGGUGGAACGGGCGAGUAAAUCAUUGCCAUGAUCAGCUCUUCCCGGGGAACAAUCAGCGUUCGCAUGGAAACACUGAUCACGCAUGUCUGUUCCCCCUAUGUUUCCCCAGUUAGUGUUUCCCGUAGCACUGUUAAACAUUAAACAUAGGAUGAACAGACUUUGACAGCGCCAUUAAAAUAAUGUUUAAAGGCACUAAGGGGAACACUAACCGGGGAAACAUAAGGGGAACAGACUUUGACACAUGGGAGAGAGAAAAACAAAUAACAGUAUGAGCCAGCACAAAUGCCGGAAUCAUGAUGUUUUAUUGUUUUAAAAGUGAUGUGUGUAAUACUUUUUCCUAUUCUGUCUUUAUUUUUAAUUUUUUCAUUGUAAUAUGAAUAAAAUCUUAUGAUGGCAAUAUAAUCAUACUUAGAAAGGAAAUCCCUUUGGAAUGGAAGCAGUUGGCAAAAGUGAUCAGCAUAAGUACCCCGAUAUUUAUUGUUCUCUGGCACCAAAGAAAAAUAAAUACUGAAUCACCUGAAAGGCUAAAUAAGAGAUUUCCCUUUCUUUAAUUAGUUUAUUCGGCUCUGUUGAUAAUGAAGAUAGAUGACAGGAAAGGAAGUGGUGGAGGAGAGCAUGUGAGCAGGCACCUUUGGGAGCUGGAAUGCCUGCAGCAAACAUAAAACCAUCUGCUCUCCUCAUGGACAGUGGCAUUUCACAACAUACAAUGUUUACACUAUGUGAUUGUAGGAGAUACAGUUUUCAGAUGCAUGCUAUUCUAUUAUGUUGAAUAUAACAUUUUAAUAUUAUAUUAUAUUAUAUUAUAUUAUCCCCUUACUGAGACCUGAAUGUGACUGCUGUGUGCGGUUUCCAUUCCUCUUUUUUAUUUGUAACAAGUAGUCCCUCAGA
Molecule: long non-coding RNA, 1898 nt
Organism: Xyrauchen texanus (razorback sucker)
Lineage: Eukaryota; Metazoa; Chordata; Actinopteri; Cypriniformes; Catostomidae
Exons: 3
Source: RefSeq, a predicted model, not a curated record